RNAcentral lists this non-coding RNA (28 nucleotides) under Bombyx mori (domestic silkworm). The record is from RNAcentral. Lineage: Eukaryota; Metazoa; Arthropoda; Insecta; Lepidoptera; Bombycidae.
UAAUGGACGAAAUGCUUUCUGGCGUAAC